Sinocyclocheilus grahami is the source of this 811-nucleotide long non-coding RNA. RefSeq lists it as uncharacterized. The record is from RefSeq and is a predicted model, not a curated record. NCBI's taxonomy places the organism in Eukaryota, Metazoa, Chordata, Actinopteri, Cypriniformes, Cyprinidae. The transcript is spliced from 3 exons.
UAGAGGGCGGGACUCGAACUGAAAGGAACAAGGCGCGGCCAAGAACCCCUUCACACGUGUAGACAAAGAGACCAUCAACACAACCCAAACACGCAGGGAAAGUUUCCCAGGACCUCGCGAAGCGCCCAGGCCAGCAUGCACGGGUCUGCGAGUGCUGGGUAACUUCUGCUUUCAACGGACGCCCUUUGAAGGAUUUAUUUAAUUAUUAUUUUUCGCUGUGGAAUAUUAUUACUGUCCUUCGGGAUUAUUGGACUAUUCAUAAUGAGAAUGAUUGCUUUCAACGUAUGACACCAUGGACAAACAAAAGAAUCAGAUCGGAUCUGCUGCAGCGGUGACGAGAGGAACAGGAUGAUUCGCUCAGCAAGUGUCCUUGUCUUCUUCCUCUUCACAAGAUUGUUCAGCUCGACUAAUGUUUUUGUGGGGUCACGGUUUGCGUUAACAUCUCCACUUGGACUUCUGAUCUCUCUUUGGUGGGUUAGGUGUAGUUCUAGUUUUAACAAGACAAAUAUACAGUAUAUUGUGUUUUCAUAGAGCAGCCCAGUGUUGUGCCGCACAUGUGAUAUUACAGUAUUUCAGAUGUUUUAUUAUUUUCCAGUAAUAUUUAGAAUCAAAGGUAGUGAUGCCUGAUUAGAAAACAAAUUAGAGUUUGAGUCAGUUCUUAUCAAUGAAUCAAUCACACAGGUGAAUUCCUUCUGAAUCAUUCGGACAGUUCAACUCACUGAGUUGUUCUGAGUGUUUCUCAUGUGAUGCAAACUCUUUACCUUUCGCUGAAAAUUCACCUUUAUGAGAUCAAAAUAGGUCACCUAUGACA